UACGUAGGGUGCGAGCGUUAAUCGGAAUUACUGGGCGUAAAGCGUGCGUAGGCGGUUUCAUAAGCUUGAUGUGAAAGCCCCGGGCUCAACCUGGGAAUGGCAUUGAGGACUGGCGCGCUCGAGUGCGGUAGAGGGGUGUGGAAUUCCCGGUGUAGCAGUGAAAUGCGUAGAUAUCGGGAGGAACAUCUGUGGCGAAGGCGACACCCUGGACCAGCACUGACACUGAGGCACGAAAGCGUGGGGAGCAAACAGG
This 253-nucleotide ribosomal RNA is filed under the name uncultured bacterium. Its description in RNAcentral is "partial 16S ribosomal RNA". It matches the Rfam family "Bacterial small subunit ribosomal RNA", at positions 524 to 776 of the family's 1533-position model. The record is from RNAcentral.